CCAGAGGACAGGAGGACAUCGAAACAUCAACAUCCGGCUACCUGUCUGCUCCUACCUGCUGACGUCACCACCGUCAAAUAAUAAAAGGUUGUGUCCCGACGUCUCACGAGUCGCUGUUUGAUGCCGUCACACCACAACAUCCUGUCGCGUGCCGCUACACGGUGACGGCGGCUGUGGUGCGACGCGUUGGAUGUUAGCUUCAAGCUACAAAGAGUCAGACAUUCAACGUUUUAUUAUCAGUUAUAUCCGCGAAUAAAAGUUCACCCGUAGUUUGUUUGAAAAAAAUACAAUGAAAUAAAAUCCGUUUGAAGAAAUGCGAAGACGAAGAUUGAGCAGUUACCUGAAGAGAAGGAGGUAAUCAGCGGGUUGUGGAGCAGAUUGAAGGAAGGACUUAUACUCCUGUCUCCUGACCUGUCUCCUGUCUCCUGACCUGUCUCCUGUCUCCUGACCUGUCUCCUGUCUCCUGACCUGUCUCCUGUCU
Dicentrarchus labrax (European seabass) is the source of this 481-nucleotide long non-coding RNA. RefSeq lists it as uncharacterized. The transcript is spliced from 3 exons. NCBI's taxonomy places the organism in Eukaryota, Metazoa, Chordata, Actinopteri, Moronidae. The record is from RefSeq and is a predicted model, not a curated record.